RNAcentral lists this unclassified non-coding RNA (400 nucleotides) under soil metagenome. RNAcentral's name for it is "partial contains 5.8S ribosomal RNA, internal transcribed spacer 2, and large subunit ribosomal RNA". The stretch from base 1 to 122 matches the Rfam family "5.8S ribosomal RNA", at positions 35 to 154 of the family's 154-position model. The record is from RNAcentral.
GAUGAAGAACGCAGCGAAAUGCGAUACUUGGUGUGAAUUGCAGAAUCCCGUGAACCAUCGAGUCUUUGAACGCAAGUUGCGCCUCAAGCCAUUAGGUUGAGGGCACGUCUGCCUGGGCGUCACAUAUCGUUGCCUGAUGCCAGUUUCCUCGUGAUGGGUGACUGUGCAGGGCGAAUGAUGGCUUCCUGUGAGCAUUGUUGCCUCAUGGUUGGUUGAAAAUUGAGUCCUUGGUAGGGAGCGCCGUGAUAGAUGGUGGUUGAGUGACGAACGAGACCCAAUCAUGUGAGACCCCUACCGAAUUUGGCCUUCAUGACCCACAUGCGUCUUUGGAACGCUCAUGACGAGACCUCAGGUCAGGCGGGGCUACCCGCUGAGUUUAAGCAUAUCAAUAAGCGGAGGA